This 443-nucleotide ribosomal RNA is filed under the name Cliomantis cornuta. Its description in RNAcentral is "partial 16S ribosomal RNA". It matches the Rfam family "Bacterial large subunit ribosomal RNA", at positions 1832 to 2531 of the family's 2925-position model. The record is from RNAcentral. Lineage: Eukaryota; Metazoa; Arthropoda; Insecta; Mantodea; Amorphoscelidae.
GGUUUCUUGUUAUAAUAGGAGAUUAGGCCUGCCCACUGACUAUAGUUGAAGGGCCGCAGCCAUUUUGACUGUGCAAAGGUAGCAUAAUCAUUAGUCUUUUAAUUGAAGGCUGGAAUGAAAGGUUAGAUGAGGUAAAUACUGUUUUAUAAAGAUAAAUUGAAUUUAUAUUUUAAGUAAAAAUACUUAAAUUAUGUUAGGGGACGAGAAGACCCUAUAGAGUUUGAUAUAUUAAAUUUUUACUGUGUUAAUUUUUUGAUUUGAAGUUAAUUAUUAAUUAUAUUUAAUUGGGGUGAUUGAAAAAUAGAAUUAAUUUUUUCUUGAUUUUAAUAUUAUAGGUAGUAGAUUGAUCCAUAAUUAAUGAUUAAAAGAUUAAAUUACCUUAGGGAUAACAGCAUAAUUCUUUUUGAGAGUUCAUAUUGAUAAAAGAGAUUAUGACCUCGAUG